Molecule: long non-coding RNA, 26846 nt
Organism: Callithrix jacchus (white-tufted-ear marmoset)
Lineage: Eukaryota; Metazoa; Chordata; Mammalia; Primates; Cebidae
Source: RefSeq, a predicted model, not a curated record
CAAAGGUGGGCUAGGUGCCGAGUGCAGAGCUUGAUGUCGAGCACGGAGUGGUGAUGUAGUUUUCAGGCGGAGAGGGGUGGGGGUGUCCGAGCUGCACGCGAGGCAACCGGCCUUACACCCCUUAUCUCUCUUCUCGCCGUCUUAGUCGGUUCCGGAUGCGAUAACAAAAAUCCUGUAAGAUGAGUGGCUGAAAAUAACGACAGUUCAUUUCUCACGGUUCUGGGAUGUCUGAAGUCCGGAAACCAGAGGCCUCGGUGUCGGCGAGGGCUGUGUCCGGUCCACGGAUGUCACCUUCUCACUGUGUUUUCACGUUGCGGAAAAGCUGAGCCGGUUCUUUUUUUUUUUUUUUUUUUGAGACGGAGUUUCGCUCUUGUCACCCAGGCUGGAGUGCAAUGGCGCGAUCUCGGCUCACUGCAACCUCCGCCUCCUGGGUUCAGGCAAUUCUCCUGCCUCAGCCUUCUGAGUAGCUGGGAUUACAGGCACACGCCACCAUGCCCAGCUAAUUUUUUGUAUUUUUAGUAGAGAUGGGUUUCACCAUGUUGACCAGGAUGGUCUCGAUCUCUUGACCUCGUGAUCCACCUGCCUCGGCCUCCCAAAGCGCUGGGAUUACAGGCUUGAGCCACCGCGCCCAGCCGCUGAGCAGGUUCUUUGUGGUCUCUUUCAUCAGAGCCCGAAUCCCGAUCAUGAAGACUCUACUCGCGACCUGAUCCCCUCCAGGCGCCUCCUCCUAGACCGUCGCUGUUUCAGCAGAAGUAUUUGGAGAGGACGCAAAAGUUCAUGGAAUAACGUUUCUGUUCUUGCGUUAGAUUCGUAUCCAUUUGCCUCUGUGGUUUAAGCCCCAUCACCUGGCCCGUGCUGGGGGGACCUCGGGAUCGCGUCACCUCCUUCAUGGUGUCACCGGGGACUUGGCGGGGCCGUGGGCAGCGCGUUCUUUCUCCCUGUGCUUUGACUCCCCUCACAAUCACACCGUAGACUAAUUUUCCUUCUCAUGAGUUUCUCUACUCUUAAUACCUUCAAUUACAUUCCCUUUCAUUACUUCCUACUUUUAACUACUUGUCAACGAUCCAUUUACUCAGAUUUUAGUUUUUAAGAAAACCCAAUCCAAACACGUCAUUACUGUCAGAUUCUGGAAUAAGAUCAUUUAUUGAUCAGAAGACAAUCUGAUCUUAUUAGAGAUGAAAUUAAAAAGCACCCUCCAUCUUCCAGCUGCAGAGGAGUCUCUACACGCUGCCAUGGGAGAUCUUUGGCUUUCGCAGGCUGAAGACAGUUGAUGGUUGAUCUGAUUCUGCUACUGUCUUCUUCAAGGAUUCUGAAGUCUUUAAUAAACCCAGGUCAUUCUCACAGAUGCUGUCACACCCGAGUGUCUACUAGGGCUUCAACUGAUACUUCAUUUUUUAUCUGUACCUCGGUAUAAUCAGCCACUGAUCAGGUUUUAGUAACUUGUAAUCUAUUACAAAUUCAGGGAUAAUCAACGUUUGAAUUUCAUCUAUAAUAAGAUCAGAUUGUCUUCUGAUCAAUAAAUGAUCUUAUUCCAGAAUCUGACAGUAAUGACAUGUUUGGAUUGCGUUUUCUUAAAAAGUAAAAAAUGAGUAAAUGGAUUGUUGACAAGUAGUUAAAAGUAGGAAGUAAUGAAAGGGAAUGUAAUUGAAGGUAUUAAGAGUAGAGAAACUCAUAAGAAGGAAAAUCCAAUGUAAGAGUAUAGUGUGUGUGGCGGGUAAGUAGGGCUCUGUAGAGCUGGACAUCCCUGAAAAGCAGUGCAGAACGCACCUCAGAACUGCCAAGGGGAAAUAUCAACCAUUUUUUCCUUCUGAUAUUGGGUCAAAGCAAUAGAAUGUAGUGACUACCUUAUACUUAUAUAUUUACAUAAUUUCUAGUAUGUUCCAGAACAUUACUACAGUUGUAGAAUGUGGCAGCUGCAGAGAAGCUCCAGGUAGAAGAUAAGAGAUACAGAAUCCGAGUCACGAAGAAGGUAGGCAAAGGACACCCGUCUUCAGUUCAGUGCUACAGCGAUGGCUAACAUGAAAAGGUAGGCGUAACUGAGUGCGUUUUGGAGAACAGGGAUAAACUUUAACAAGAGUUUUCUGUAAGUCCUCUCUGUGUUCAUACCUGGUCACUAUCCGUCAUAGAUGACCACUGUUAGGACUGUGACAUUUUAGAUAACUUUGGCCAGUUUUGAACGCUGCGUAAACGUGUAUGUGUGCACUUUAGCAGAUAUUGGCAAGCGGUACUCCAAGUAGGUGCACAAUUUUCAUUACUACCAACCAUGCAUGAGGAUUCCAGUGACCACAUCUGUUUAUCAACCCUUACACGACCGGUCAUUCUGCUCUUCACCAUUCCGGUAGGUCUCUAGUAGAGUCAGCCUGAGAUUCUCAUUUGCAUUUCCCAGGCAACUAAUGCAGUCUCACACAGUGCAGUAUACUUUUGGAAGCAUGUAAUUCCAGAAGCUUUUGGAAAUUUCUAUUGUGGGGUAUCAAGUUUUGCCAAUUUUUCCAUUGACGUACUUUUUUAAAGUGGAUUACACAAUUUAUAACGCUUUUAUUUGUAUUCACUCAUUCUGAUACUGGUCACCUGCAGGUUUGCUUCUGCGGCCUUUCUACUUUGUUUAUUCUAGAAUGCUUACAGCAUUUUCGAAUGACUGCUCGGAAUUUUCUAUGAAAACCUGAUCAUUCUGCUGAUAAUGUUCUUUUCCUUCACGGAGGCUGUAUCCUGUUUGGGCAGGGAAGUGAAAAUCGGAUAACCUCAAAUCUGUUAGGGACUGAAGUGAAGCCUUGCUUGUUUAUAGUCUGUGUAAGGUGCAGUUUUUCUCGGGUUUACCCAUGCUCCUAGGGUGUAGCACCCAGAGGGAAAUAACUGAGAGCUUGGGAUGAUUCCUAGAGCCUUCUCCCUGUUUGAGUCCUGAUUCCGUUUUGUCCUCUAGAGCCGCAAUACUGCCAACAACUGCACUGUGCUUGGCUCUUCUCCUUCACUAUGUGGACUAUUAUCGUACAGUCUACCUCAUAGAUGGAUGCAGGCAACAUCUUAACAGGACACAAGGUGCCAAAUAUCACUUUCACGUCCCUGUGCUUCCCUCCUCUCUGAGAUCUUGGCCCCUUACCCGCUGGUCAUCCUGAUCCACCAACUUCAAUAUUUUGUUCUGUCUGCUCCACGGGACGCCCAGAGUUUGUUAGCAUCUGCCCUCUGUCUUGCUUCUUAGCCUUUCUCUCACCCCCCAGUAGGCAAAUGUUUAUGCGGAAAAGGGGCUUGCAUAAACUCAGGUUCUCCUACAAAAGCUUCCUUUCCUCCAGGGUCUGGCUUUUUAAGUUAUGAAACAAUGUGAGUCCUCCAAUUCCGUCAAACAGUUUUUGGCAUUUUACUUACCUUUUCUAAUUGCCCUCAGUGGGAGCAUCCACCUGUGUCAGGCUUCCCUAUCGAUAACCAAGAGUGAAGUUUUCUAAAGGAAAAUCUUGAUUUUGUUAUUGUUGCGUUUUCCAAUAAGUGUCCCCUCGUGUUACUGUCACCUCUAUUUUUAACCUCUUUCUUUUGACUAAAGCAUUUUUCCUCAGCUAUAAACAUGCCUACUUUUCUGUCAACUCUAAGGAAACUUUUGACCUUGUCUUACAAUUGAAAAUAGUUAUUUUUUCCUAAGGCAAGUUUAUUUUAAAAAAUUAAAGUUUUUAUGUGCACUCUCUCCAUUUUCUUAUAUCCAAUUCCCUCAACAAAUCUCUACCUCUUCUUACUUUUUUUUUUGUUUUUCUUUUUGAGACCAGGUCUCACUCUGUUGCCCAGGCUGGGGUGCAAUUGCACGAUCAUGGCUCACUGCAGCCUUGACCUUGUAAUCCAUCACCUCAGCCUCUCCUGUGUCUGGGACCACAGGGGCAUACCAGUAGUCCUGUCUAAUUUUUGUAUAUAUUUUUAAGCCUCACUGUGUUGCCCAGGUUCGUCUCAAACUCCUGGGCUCAGGCAGUCUCCCCACCUCAGUCUCCCAAAAUGCAAGGAUUACAGGCAUGAACCACUGUGCACGACCUCUACUUCUUAAAUAUGUUUUCCAAAUCCACCAUUGAAUUUCAUAGAUGCUUUCAUUUGAUGUAAGACUUUCGUCCUUAGUGAAUCGCUAUUUCAUUUGAUGGCACCUCCCCUUCCUUUUGGAAAUUGAAACUGGUUGCCUUUUUUGCUCUGAGCCACCCUCCAAGCACCCACAGCUGGUAUUUACCCCACCUUUCAUGUUUUCUUCAUCUCUUUUUCUGCCUAUGUGUUUAACACUUACGUUUUCUGAGUCCAGUUCAUUGUUCUUAAUUUUCCUGCUUUCUUUGGGCAACUUGAUAUUUUCCUUUGGUUUCAGCUAACAAAAUGAGGAUGCCCUGAAGACAUAACUUUUUAUUCCAAGGCUCAACUAUUGUCAUGGUAUAACAAUGCUUGCGAGUAAGGAUUCUAGAGUUAUCGUGCCUGUAUGUGAGUCUUGUCCGUGAGAGUUAUUACUUGGGCGAAUUAAUUUACUUUAAUAAAAUGGGCAUUAUAACAAAGUACCUCCUAGGGUAUUUCUGGAAAUCGUUCUACCGAGUUGAUUGAGGGCUUGUUUAUUAUAGUCUCUGUAGGUACAAUCUUUCUUUGGUUCACCCCAAAUCAGCAUAAGACCACCAGGGACAAAUGUGUAGUUUAAUAAAUUCAGUUUCACAGGCUUAUUGCAUGGAGGUUUGUGGUACACCAGAGCCUCUAUGGAAUAUUACUUGAAACAAAGGAAAAUAUUGUAUUGUUAUUAUGUUGUAACUGAGCAAGUGUGAAAUCGCCACUGAGAAAAAGACUAGGCCAAAUUUAUUGCCGGUGGCCAUGGAGGACUCAUGUCUCUCUAACCCGUGGUCCCGAAAGGAGGGUGUCAAGACCUUUUAUGCCCAUAAACCUCCUGGGUGGGGGUGAGGGUGAGCGGCUUUGGACAUUCCGAGGGCCAGGGGACUUUGGACAUUCUGAUUGUUACUUAAGUGUUUCAUAGAAGUCAAGAUAAGAAUUAAUUUACACAUUGUCUGUGUAGGGUGGAAAAUUACAGACCUUGGUUACCUAUUACAAGUCUCAGGGGCCAAAAUGGCAUGGGUUUGGACCCUGUCACAUUAGUGUUACAGAGAGCAGUUUUGACAGGAAGCAGAGGUAUGGUCAAGGUGUGCAGUUUAUGGGGCUUUUACCAUGUCAUAAUUAGUGUAGGAGAAGCAUGGAGUUUAAACAGAAUUUAAAUAAAGCCAUGUAUGUGUGCGCAUGCAAGUGCGUGUGUGUAUGUCUGUGUAAGUGGGUGCAUGUGUGUGUGUGUGUUAGGAAGAUGCAAAGUAGCACACAGCGGUAGAAAGCUUAGCUUAGCUUGAAAAUAUUUUUCUGUUCAAUCCCGGCCCUACCACUUAACAUGUGAUGUGACUUGGGGAAGUUAUUCAAACUUUUAUGUCGCUGCCUCAUCCAUAAACUGGGGUUACUAUCUUUAAUAGGAGCAUCUUGAUGAUUCAAUGAGUUAAUUAGCGUAAAGCAUUUUGAACAAUGCCCGGCACACAGGAAGGGUUUUGCUAUUGUUGUAGUUGUCAUUAUUCUAGUUGUUGUCAUUUAUCGUUACUUGAUAGAUGCAGUGGAAGAGACGCAGGAUUUUUGAAGAAACGCCUGAUACAUAACUUAAACUAUUACAGACAUCAGUCCUAGACCACCUACUACCUAAUAAUACGGAGAUUUCCAUUUAAACAAUACUUACUAUUAUUCUGGCAAAACUACGUUUAGAAUUACAUUGCUGCCUGCGGUUGUAGCAAUUUCAUUGAGUUUCUGAGAAGCUUUUUGUUAGCUGUCCUUUAAAUAAUUUGGGAGCAAAAGAUGCGGUUCAAAAUAAGAGACCUCUCUGUAAUAAUAAUUUUUAUUUACCCAGUAUUUUUCUUCUGAAGUUUUAGAAAACUUUCAGAUACAUACAUAUAUUUUACAGAUACACAUAUGAAAGCAGAACGAGAGAGAGAGAGAAAGAGAUUACAUGUAAGUGGUUGGCGAAGAAAAACCUUGACAACACCAAACUUGAUUUUUUUUCAUAAAGAUACAUCUUUAUUCAAUACUUUCGCAAACAUAAAAGUAGAAAACAAAAGUGUACUCAAAAUUUCACUAAACAAAGAAAUUUGUUUCAACAUGAGUACAUGUGUUGAAAUAAUUAUCAGUCAUGUGAAAAUACUAAUGCUGAGUAUUUUCAGUUAUCAAUUAUAUCAAAAUUCUGAUGUUUGAGUUUUGAGUUUUGCCACCAUACUCAUGUGUGAAUGUUUUGAUAGGCAUUAAUUAUACUGUUUAGGUAGAUUUAUCUAGGUGUCAUUUUAUUUUGUGGGAUUGUAAAAUCUAACAGUAAAUAGCAUUUGAGAUGAGACAUUUUAAAGAAAUAUUUCUAACAUAAAUGUAGAGAUCAUUUGCACGAUGAAGAAAACAGUUUAUGUGAGACUGUUUUCUCUACUUUUCAUGUCUCAUUUUGGAAGAUGAUGUCAUUACUUACAUUUAUUUUAGUAGACAGGUCAUUCCAGUGAUUGGCUGAGGUUAUGAAUCUUUUUUUUUUUUUUUCGAGAUGGAGUUUCACUCUUGUUACCCAGACUGGAGUGCAAUGGCACAAUCUUGGCUCACUGCAACCUCUGCCUCCUGGGUUCAAGCAAUUCUCCUGCCUCAGCGUCCUGAGUAGCUGGGACUACAGGCGUGCGCCACCGUGCCCAGCUAAUUUUUGUAUUUUUAGUAGAGAUGGGGUUUCACAAUGUUGACCAGGAUGGUCUCGAUCUUUUGACCUAGUGAUCCACCUGCCUUGGCCUCCCAAAGUGCUGGGAUUAUAGACAGUGAGCCACCGCGCCCAGCCGAUUCUGAAUCUUAAGCCAGAUUCCUGCCGAAAUAAGUCACACAAAUCAUAACAAAUUAAGUAUUUUGUUGGUAGCCUUUCUCAUCUGCCAGCUCUUUCUUGGUCAAAAGUGAAAAGUCCUUUGCCAUUGUUUGAUUGUUGGGAUUAAGGUAGGAGCUUUUCCAGGUUUUCUGCCUUCUUCUUCCCAGAUAGGAGCAGAAAUAGAACAACAGCACGAGCUUGUGUGUUUGCAUUGUGUUAUUUUCUCAAAUCAAAAAACAAAUGAAACAAAAUUUGUUCAAAAUAAUAAUAUUGCUUCUGAUAUUUAGAGUUUUUUCUUCAACAAAAGAUAAUUUGUAGAUAGAUAUAUUUCACCUUGAUUCACUAUCUCUGUUUAACGAGUAGAGGCCAAGAAUUACAUAUCUAUUUCUCAAAAUUAAAAUAUACAUUUAUUGUAACAAAUUUGCAGUUGUGUCAAAGAGUAACAAAGUAAUUUCAGAAGAUUCAGAAUUAUGUUCCAAAGACAGAGGGUUAAUCACUACACUUUAGAGAAUAUUCCAAGUCAUUAAAGAAAAAAAUUUUUUGAAUAUCAAGAACUAUAUUUAAUUUAUUACAAUAAAAAUUUACCCAUUGUCUCCUCGGAUAACUAAGGCAUUAUAAUAUCAAUGAUUCUUGUACUUAUGUACCCAUAUAGAACACCAUACUCUAUAUUUUAAAAAAUAGUGUAUAUCGUGGUAGAAAACAUAUCAAUAAUCAUAGGUAUAUACUGACUAACAGUAUCUCAUAGGUAGAUCAUUCUACCUUGAUGGAAAUUUUGUCAACUUCAUAAGUAUUAAUUGAUUAAUGGUUGAAUCUUAAAAGGAAGUGAAUAUAAUAGGCGGUUUAUUCACUGCUCUCAAUAACUCCACUUUUAAUAUCUUUAUCAGUCUUGGUAAUCUGGAAAAUAGCCUAGGCAGAAAUAGAAAACUCACCAGUAUCCUAGAGAUAGCCGAUUUCACCUAUGAGGUUUUGAUGGUUUUGUACAAUUAGUGGAAAUGCAAUAUACACAUUACCCACAUGAAAAACGAACUCAAAAAGUCAUUGCAGCAUUUGAUUAGUAAAAAACCCUACUGUUGCCAAGACAUCCAUCAGCAGUGUCAAUCCAUUAUUAAUGACGUUUUCUGUAAAGUACAAUACUUAUGGGAUGAAUAUAUGAGGUAGUUUAUUUAGGGCAAGAACAAGUAACUGAACGUAGACUCCAAAUGAUUGCAUAGUAUUUGUUUUUCUUAAGUAGUAAUAGUAUUAUAACUUCUCAAUAGAUUAAUAGAGAAGAAUACUAGUAUGCCUAAUACAAAAGGAAAAAUAAUAAAAAAUACUUUAUUUUGAGAGUAUUUUUAUCGCUAAAUAUAUUUGUUUCUUAUAUUAUUCCUAAAGCAAUAAAUAUUAUUUUUAUUAAUGGUUUUACAUAGAUAUAACUCACAUGCCAUAAAAUUUCCUGUUUUAAAGUGUGCAAUUUAUAUAAACUUUAGUAUAUUAGCAGAGUUAUAAGUUCAUAACUACAAUCUAAUUAAAAAGAAAGAAAAACUAGCCUUCCCAAAAGCAACCUCAUUAGGAUGUCAAUUCUCAUUCUAACUCCGAGCCCAGCUCUAAGCAACAACAGACCUACUUUGUGUCUCUCUAAGAUUUGCCAUACUGAACACUGCAUGUAAUUGGAAUGGCACAACAUGGGGUCUAUUGCGACUGACUUCUUUCACUUAGUGUAAUGCUUUCAAGGUGUAUCCAUACUGUAGCAUACAUCAGUACUUCAUUUCCUUGUAUAAUGUCAUUAUGUUUUAUGUGUAUAUGUAUCAAUUGAUAGACAUUAGUGUUGUUUCCAUUUAGGAAUUACUAUUUAUAAUACCUCUAUGAGCAUCUGUGUACAAGUGGUUUUGUGAAGCUAGGUUUUGAUUUUUUCCACAGGUAUAUAUGUAGAAUUUGUAGAACUGUGAGAUUACAUGCUAACGCUAACUGUAUUUUUAAGAUUUUGAGGUGUUGCUAAAGAGUUUUCUGAGUAACUGCUGUUUUCCAUUGCCAGUAGCAACACGCAAGUGUUCCAAAUUCUGUCCCCACCAACACUUAUAAUUAACUAUCUUUUAAAAAUUGCCAGUCUUGUAGAUUUGAAGAGGAAUCACACUGUGAUUUUGAUCUGCAUUUCCCCGUGACCUACAAUAUUCAUCAUCUUUCAUGUGCCCAUUUGUUAUUUGUACAUCUUCAGUGGAGAAAUGUCUAUUCAGAGUCUUUGCUUCUUUUUAAAUUAGGUCAUUUGUUCUUGUAUUAUUGAUUUCAAAGGGCUCUUUUCUUGUUCAGAAUAUGAGAUCCUUAUCAAAUACAUGACUUGUAAGUAUUUCAUCUCAUCAUGUGGGUUUCCUUUUCACUAUUUUAAUGGUAUUGUUUAAAGUAAAAAUGUUUUUAACUUUGAUGUAGUCUAAUUUAUUCAUGUUUUUCCACGUAGGCUUUCAACAUCAUAUCUAAUAAACCACUGCUAAAGCCAAGACCAUGAAGAUUUAUUCUGUUUUAUAUUUUUAGCACUUCUACCUAGGUCUGUGAUUAAUUUUCAGUUACUUUCUGUACGUGGUGUGAGGUGGGGGUCCAACUUCAUUCUACUGUAUGUGGAUGUCCUCUUGUCCGAGCACCAUUUAUUCUAAGAAUUAUUUUGUCCUUGUCAAAAAUCAAUUGACCAUAAAUGUAAGGGCACAUUUCUGAACUGAAAUAUAUUUUGUUAAUCUGUAUGUUGGUUUGUAUUUUUCUACCACCCUGUCUUGUUUACUGCAGGAAAUUUUAAAAUUAGGGAAUGUGAAUCCUCCUAAGUAGUUUUCUUUUUCUAAGACUGUGUUGGCUGUUAUUAGCAACCUGAAUUUCCACAUGAAAUUUUAGCAUCAGCCUGUCAGUCUCUAUUAAAAGCAGGCUGGGAGCUGGCUCAUGUCGGUAGUCUCAGCAGUUUGGGAGUCCAAUGUGGGAAGAUCAGGUGAGACCAAAAGUUCAAGACCAGCCUAGGCAAAAUAUUCAGACCUCACCUCUAUGAACAAUUUUAUAAAUGUUUUCCAAGCAUGAUGGCAUGUGCCUGUAGUCUCAGCCACUUUAUAGGCUGAAGUGGGAAGAUCACUACUGCCUAGAAGUUUGAGGCUGCAGUGAGCCAUAAUUGUGCCACUACACUCCAGCCUGGGUUACUGUACAAGACAUUCAUUAAAGAAAAUAAGAUAAAAUCAAAAUAAAUAAAUCAACAAGCAAACCAAUAAAUGAUAAAUAAUUUAGAAAACAAAUAAAAGAAGACUGGUUUUGACAAGGACGGUGUUGAAUCUCUAGAAGAAUUUCUGGAAUGCUGCCACUUGAACAAUGUUGUCUUCUAAUCCAUGAAGUGUGGGUAUUUUUUUCAUUUCUUUAGAUCUUUACAUUUUCUCAACCACGUUUUAUAGUUUUCAGUAUGAGACUCUCACACUUCUUGUGUUAGUGGAUUCCUGUUUGUCAUGGUUAAUAGUAAGUGUCAACUUGAUUGGAUUGAAGGAUGAAAAGUAUUGUUCCUGGGUGUGUCUGUGAGGGUGUUGCCAGAGGAGAUUAACAUUUGUGUCAGUGGGCUGGGGGAGGCGGAUCCACACAAUCUCGGUGGGCACAAUCCGGUCAGCUGCCAGCACAGCUAGAAUAAAGCAGGCAGAAGAUGGAGAGCAGAUUGGAUGAGUCUUCUGGGUUUCAUCUUUCUCCCAUGCUGAGUGCUUCCUACCCUAGAGCAUGAGACUCCAAGUUCUUUCGCUUUUGGACCCUUGGACUUACACCAGUGGUUUACCAGGGGCUCUCAGCCCUUUUGCCACAGACCAAAGGCUGUACUGUCAGUUUCCCUGCUUAGUCUCUAAACUAAGACUGGCUUCCUGGCUCCUCACCUUGCAGGCAGCCUAUUGUGGGACUUUACUUUGCGAUGAUAUGAGUCAAUUCUCCUUAAUAAACUCCCCUUCAUAUAUACUAGAGACCCCGAAUAUGCUGUUUUUUUAUGCUAUUGCAAAUGGAAGUUUUUCAUAAUUCCAUUGUUCAUUGCAACUUUAUGGAAAUAUUUCUUACGAUAAUCUUUUAUCCUGAAAUUUUGUUGGACUUUAUUAUUAUUUCAAAUAACUUUUCUGACUAGAUUGCUGAGAAUUUUCUGUGUAUAAGAUAAUGGCAUCUGCAAAUAGAGAUCCUUCCCUCCCUCUCUCUCUCCCUCCCUCCCUCCCUCCCUCCCUCCCUCCCUCCCUUCCUUCCUUCCUUCCUUCCUUCCUUCUUCCUGCCUUCCUGCCUUCCUGCCUUCCUUCUUCCUGCCUUCCUGCCUUCCUUCCUUCCUUUUUAUCCAAAUAUCUUUUUUUCUUGCCUUUUCUCUUUGGCUAGAAUGUCUAACACAUUUUGAAUAGAAUAUGAAAGAGCAGACAUUUUUCUACAUUUUUCUUUUGUCACUUUCAAUUCCUUUUUCUUUUUUUUUCCUUUUGUUAUCUGGGUUCCUACUUUGCUGAGUGUUUCAAUUCUGAAAGGACGUUGGGUUUAUCAAACUUGUUCUCUGCCUAUUAAGACAAUUAUGAGGACUUGCCCUUUGUCCUUUGUAUGGUGUAUUACAUACAAUAAAAUAUGAAACAAUGCCCUUUUCUAUGGGACCUACCAUAUUUUUAUAUGUUAUUAUAUUUAAAAAAAUUUUAAAACUGCAUUCAUGAUAAAAUUUUACCUUGCCAUGGUAUAAAUUUUUUUUACACAUAUUGCUGUUUCGGUUUUGCCAGUUAUUUUUUUUUUGUGGUAAAACAUGCAUAAUGUAAUAUUCAUCAUUUUAUUCAUUUGUAAGCGUACGACUCAGAGGUAUUAAAUACCUUCACAAUGCUGUGAACUCAUUACCACUGUCUAUACCGAAAACAUUUACAGUUAAGCAACAACUUCACACUCUUCUCCUCCUCAGCUCCUGGUAACCUAAAGUCUGCUUUCUGCCUCUUUGGAUUGGCUUAUUCUAGGAACAACAUACAAACGGAAUUACAGUAUUUGCUCUCUUGUGUCUGGCUGAUUUCACUUAGCAUGUUAUCAAGGUUCAUGCAUAUUAUGUCAUGCAUAAAAAUUUUAUUUUUUGAAAUUUGCAUAUAUACAAAAAAAAAAAAGAAAAAUGGCAUUGCUGACUCCUAUGGUUGUUGUAUAUUUUUGAGGAAACACUAAACUGCUCACCAGUGGCUGCAUUAGUCUACUUUGCUAGCAGCAAUACAAAAGGGCUCCUAUUUCUCCACAUCCUACACACCAACACUUGUCAUAAUUUACUGUGGAUUUUUAUGCAUUUUCUUACUGACUAAUAAUAUUGAGCAUAUGUUAAUGACUUUAUUGCCCCUUUGCAUAUCUUGUUUGGAAAAAUUUCUAUUAAAAUUCUUUGCUCAUGCUUGAUUGGGUUGUUUAUUUUGUUUUUGCUGUCGUUGAGUGUUAGAAGGUAUUUUACAUAUUCUGAAAAGUAAUCUUUUAUCAAAUAAUAUGAUUUGCAAUAGCGUCUUUCAUUAAGUUGGUUGUCUUUUGCUUCCUUGAUAGUAUCCUUUGAUGCACAAAAGUUCUAAUUCAACUUACCUAUUUUUCCUUUUGUUGUUUUGUCCACAAAAAUUGCCAAUAUUAAUGUCACAAAAGAAGUCCCCAAUGCUUUCUCCUAAGAAAUUUUACAGUUUUAAGUCUUUAAUUUAGAACUUUGAUUUUUUUUUUUUUGGCACUAAUUUUUGUGUAUGGUGGACCAUGUAGGUUCUUUGAGAUAUGAAUACCUGGUUUUGUUGUUGUUGUUUUUUGCAUUAUUUGAAUGCUGUUUUCACUAGUUUGUGUUUAGUUUGCUCAUUUUUCUCUAGUUGUUUAAAAUGUAAAGUUAGAUUAUUGAUCUCAGAUCUUUCUUUUUUCAGUGUGGGCCUUUUCAGCUAUCAAUUUCCCUCUGAGUACUGCUUUCACUGUUCCAAUAAGUUUUGAUAUGUUGUGUGUGUGUUUUUUUAUUUUAGUCAUUAAUGAAUACUUUAAAAUUUAUCCUGUGUUUUCCUUUUGACUCAUUAGUUGAGUGUGUUUAAAAAUUUCUACAUAUUUGUGAUGUUUUUCAGGUUUUCUUCUGUUAUUUAUUUUUAAUUUCAUCUUGUUGCAAUCAGAGAACAUACUUUGAAUAUCUAUCCUAUACAACAAAUUGAGACUUGUUUUCAGCUAUGAGGCAUGGUCUAUCUUGAAAAAUGUGCAAUUUUAUCUGAGAAGAGUGUACAGUCUGCUCUUGUGGGCUGAAGUAUUCUGUGUAUGUUAGGCCUAGUUCAUUAUGACAUUUGAUCCUUCUAACUCCCUACACAUCUCUGUCUUUCUUUCUUUCUCAACCACUCCUUUAGUUUUAAAUCAUCUAAGACUUUAGUUAAAAUUGAAUUAGUUAGUGAUCACAUAGAUUUGGGUUUUUUUAUUCACCACUGUCUUUGUGAUUUUAUCUGUAUUUACACCAUUCAGAUUUAAGGUAGCAUUGACAUAAUCAGUUUAACACUGGUAUAGUCAGAUCAAAUAUUGGUGUCAUUAGAUUAAUGUUUGUAACUGUUUUUCUGCAUGUUAAAUUUACAAUCCAGAGAUUAUAUAAUGGAAUCAUAUAAAAUACAGCUAUCCCCUCCCUUUAACUGUGGUUUCAGUUUUCCUGGUUUCAGUUGCUCACAGUCAACUGUGGUCUGAAAAUACUAAAUGGAAGAUUAUAGAAAUAAAUGUAUAAGUUUUACAUUCUGUGCACUGUGCAUAGUACCAUAGAACUUCCCACCACCUUUUCUCUACCCUUUCUGGAAAGUGAAUCCUCCCGGUGUCUAGUGAAUCCUCCCGGUGUCUAGUGAAUCCUCCCGGUGUCUAGUGAAUCCUCCCGGUGUCUAGUGAAUCCUCCUGGUGUCUAGUGAAUCCUCCUGGUGUCUAGUGAAUCCUCCUGGUGUCUAGUGAAUCCUCCCGGUGUCUAGUGAAUCCUCCUGGUGUCUAGUGAAUCCUCCCGGUGUCUAGUGUACCCAUGCUGUGUGCCAUAUGCCACUUAGUAGCUGUUUCAAUGUAGAUAUUUUGGUUUUAUUCUAUUUUGUGUUUGUUGAACUCCCUAGAUCUCUAGUCAGGUCUCUGUCACUAAUUUUAGCAAAUUCUUACCUAUUAGUGCUUCAAAAUAGUACUUCAAAUGUCUUCAUUCUUUAUUUCUUCUCCGCUGGGUAUUCCAGUCACAUACACAUUUGUAAUUGCUCCACGGUUCUUGUGAUUCUAUUUUUGGCUAUUCUUUCCCCACAUGUCCACUGCCACUUGCUCUUGUCUCUGUAUUUCUGUUUGAAAAGUGUGCUUGGAUCUGUCUUUAAGAUCACUGAUUGUUUGAUUGCUGAACCAUUGAAGGCAUUCUCCGGUGCCGUUGCGAUUUUUCUAGAGUACUGUUUCUAACAUUUGCAUUUUAUUAUUUCUUUAGAGUUACCGUAUCUCUGCUUUCAUUAUUUAUAUGUUGUGGAACCCUGUCUACAUUUUUUUCAUUAAGGUCCUUAUUAUACUCAUUAUAGUCAUUUUGAAGUGGUAUUGUAUGUCUGGGGUAAUACCAGAGGUUCCUUGCAUCUCAUCAAGGAUAUUAAAGGGACAGACACACAAGGAAUGAGUUUAAGGACAGAAGUUUAGGCAAGAGAGAAAAGCCCCCUCAUGCAGAGGGAGGGGGUUCCAAGUGGAUCUCCCUGUUUGUGGCAAGAUGCAGUUGGUUUUAUAGAUGAACUUGAGGAGGUGGUGUCUGGUUUAUACACCAAUUACUGUGCAAAUUGGUUGGUUGGAAAGAAUUGGUUGGACCCGGUGUGCCAUUUAUGCAGCGUGAAGAAGCUGACCACCCCACCCUCAUCUUUUGUUAUGCAGACAUGUUGUCUGCCUGGGCAGCACCAUGUUGCCUGCUUUUUACUGCACGAGUGGCAACAAAGUAAAGGCAAGAUGGAUCCUCCCUGUUGAACGUGCCUGGUUUCAGGUGUCCCUUUUCCAUUGACACAGCGACCAGCAUUUACCUUUACAAGCUUCUAGUUUGCAUAUCUGUGUUUGUGGCUUUUUUUAGGCUACUUUUUGUUAGAAAAUAAAUGACUUUUGGGCUGCUUUUUAUUAAAAGAAAAUUCCACCAAGGACUCUCUUACCCUCAGCAUCUGCCUAAAUAAUUUCCUUUUAGCUCCUGUAUCAAUUUUAAUUUCCUUAGGUAAAAAUUCCAGCAUUUAUGUAUCAUGUCUGAAUCUGUUUCUAACGCUUGUGUUAUUCUUCAGAUUCUAUUUUUUCAUGCAUUUGGUUGGCUUUUAUUGUUUCAUAGAAUAAUAACACUGAGGUAGGAGAUCCCGAAUCAUGCUUAAGUAUCUAAGAACAUCCCCGCCUUGACUUCCACACUGCAUCUCAAUGGGAGAAAUAAAGGCUGACAGAGCCAGUGCCACCUUAAUCCCCCUCCUAUAGAUCCAGUCAAGGUGUGGAGGAGUCUUCUGGGAAGGCAUUGUUUUUACUUCAACAAGAUCAAACCCCAUGUAAGUCACUGUAGUCCAUGCCUACUCCAUGCCCAAGGCACUUUCACAUGUAAAUUCUAGAGUUGUAAGCCCAAGACCACUUCACAUGUAAUUUCUAGAGCUGUAAGCCUUUAAAAGGGCAGGGACUUUCUCUGUGAGCUCGAACUUGGCUGUUAGGCAACUAUGCCGCCUUGCUCCCGGCCGAAUAAGUCACCCCUUCCUUCCUAGUUCGGUGCUCCAGAGGUCUGUUUUGCUCCCUUUCUUGCCUCAACACGCUGUAUCAGUUAAUACCAAUUCGGGUAUAUGGGCCCUUGUUGUGAUGAUUUAUGCUAAUAAGGUUAGGAUUUUAGCUUUUUAUUUCAUGUUUGCUGUUACCGUUAGUGCCGCUGUCUUCAAGUUCCUCCAUUGUCCUUGUUUUUGUGCCCCCCUUUAGCUUUGGGUUUCAGUGAUACCCCUCUUUUAGGGAGUCUCUACUUUGAACCAUUUGAGCUGUAAGUCACUGUUUUAUGCCGUCCUCUUUGGUAUUGUUGUAAGGUACAAAGAAGAGAGAGAUUUCUUUAUCUUAUGUUAAAUUAGCCUUUCCAUGAUGCUGUGACUCUAGGUGGUAGCUUUCACCUUGUUUCUCUUCUGAUAGAGAUUUAUUUUUUCUUUCCUUAUGUGAGACAGUCAGAACAGAGUGGGUGGAGGUUGAGGAAUGCCCUUGCUCAGGUGAGAAAAGAUCCUAGGAGGUGUUUCCUAGGAGAGUGCACUAUUUUGUGGCCAGCACUCUAGGCCUAUUUCACAACGAUGGCUCUUCCUCUCCUCUUCCAAAGCCAUAUGGGGAUCUUAGUCGGACCUUUACAAUGAGAAGCUAGUGGAUUCCUGGAGGUAGAGUCCUUGAAAGUGCAAGUGGCUUUCUGAGAAGGCAGCUCCCAGAAGCCUCUCAUCCUCACACUAGCGCACAUCCAGCCUCCCGUGAUUCAUCCCAAGGACUGUUCCAGGGCUUGAGCCAGCUAAUGGCUCCAGCACUCCUGCUCCAGGGGAACAGAUCUGUUUCGCUGUCUCUUUGGAUGUGUCUGUAUCUUCAGAUGUCAGAGUGUUGUUUUCCUCUCCAACUUCAGUUUUCUUUUUCUUUGAGAUGGAGUUUCGCUCUUGUUACCCAGGCUGGAGUGCAAUGGUGCGAUCUCGGCUCACUGCAACCUCUGCCUCCUGGGUUCAGGCAAUUCUCCUGCCUCAGCCUCCUGAGUAGCUGGGAUUACAGGCAUGCACCACCAUGCCCAGCUAAUUUUUUGUAUUUUUAGUAGAGAGGUGGUUUCACCAUGUUGACCAGGAUGGUCUCGAUCUCUUGACCUUGUGAUCCACCUGCCUUGGCCUCCCAAAGUGCUGGGAUUACAGGCAUGAGCCACCGCACCUGGCCCCAACUUCAGUUUUCUGCUUGGUCCAAAAAACUCAUAAAAUUUCAGUUUGUUCUUUUGUUGUUGUUAUAAAGAUGAGAGUGACACCUGUUAAGCUCCUUACCUUGGAGCAGGACACGCUGCCGACAAAAUCCUCUGGACACCAGGUUUGUGAAGGAAGUGGCUUUUUAUUCAGCCGGGAGUCUUGGCAGACUCACCUUUCAAGAACUGAGCUCCCUGACUGGAAAAUCCUGGCCUCUUUUAAAGACUCACAGUCUUCAAGGGUACCUGUGAGAGGGUCAUGAUCAGUGAGAUAAGUGAGGGGUACGUGACUUGGGUGGGGUCUAAUCAUGAUUAAGCAAGAACGAAGCCUUGGGGAAGAUUCCUCCAUACCAUGCCUGCCAUGUAUAGACAAGAUAGGAACUAGGGUGGGGGUUUGGUCUCUAACCUCCAGGUCCAGCUAGUGGCACUAGUUUUGUCUCCACUGACUUUGUGCUAUUUUCAACUUUUAUUUCUCCUUUCGAAAUGCAAUGUAGAAGGCUAAGGGGAAGCGGUCGUAGAAGCGGAAGAGGAAGGGGUCUCCUUCCUCAACAUGUUAAAGCUAGAACUUAAAAUCUCUUAAAUGUGUCAUUCUAAUUUCCAGUUCCUUUUGUAAACCAAAAAUAAAACCUUAAGCUCCCCAACCAGCUGAGUGAACUCCUUCUGGGCCCAAGGGAAACCUAAAAAACUGAAUUGCCAGCAUGACAGGAAAGGAGUUUGGACACGCCUCAUUAUACCGUCUCUUUUUUGGAGUUUAGACACAACUGACCAGCAUGAACAUUAACACAGAGAUGGUGAAACUGACCAAAUAGUCUCUUUGUGGCAAAAAGAUACUAAAUUCCAAGCUGACUGUGCUAUUGCAUUAUAUGAAAACCAGCAGGCCCUGAAGGAAAUUCAAGUAUUUUACACCAAAAUGGAUUUCUUGACAUAUUUUGAAAUGACCCUCUCUUUUGGGGCACAUUUGCAUCUGUAGAAAAAUCUCCUUCUCUUUCUAGUUCUUCCCUGGAUUUAGGAGAGAUUCAACUAAGGUUUUGAUAUCCUUUAAUUUCUCAAAAGAGACAUUUACCAUCUAUUCUUUCUAAAGUCUGCUACUAGAGGCUUCUACUUAACAAAAAGUGUGGCUUUCUCAAUCCCCCUUGUCUUAAAUCAAGUAUUUCCUUCUAGUGACUUCUUAAGUCUUUAGACAAAGCUUAUCUCUCUCAAUCAAUUAUCAGUCAGAUAAUCUUUAAAACCUCUUAUGACCUGUAAGCCUCCCCCAUGAAAUUCGCAUGUCCCAUCACUUUAGACUGAACCAGUGUAUACCUUGUAUGUAUUUAUCUAUGUCUUCGCUCUAAUUUCUGUCUCCCGAAAAUGUAUAAAACCAACUGUAACCAAACAACUUUAGGCACACAUUCUUAGGAUCUUUUGAGACUAUACCCAGACCAUGAUUAGUCAUAUUGGCUCAGAAUAAACAACUUUAUAUAUUUUACAUAGUUUGGCUUUUUAUACCAAGAUCCUUAAUAUACUGUUUUUUUUCCCAGUUAUUUCCUUAGUUAAUGUUCUGGGGAGUCCAUUAGUAUUUAAACAUAAAACAAACUAAAACAUUUUCUUCCUUGAUAUGCAUAUUUAGUAAAUGAGGAUAUCCAAAUUUCAGUACCUUAAAGUUAAUGAAAAUAAUAUGAAUAUUAAUUCCUUUUUUUUUUUUUUUUUGAGAGUCUCACUCUGUCACCAGGUACCAGGCUGGAGUGCAGUGGCACAAUCUUGGCUCACUACAACCUCUGCCUCCCAGGUUCAAGCAAUUCUCCUGCCUCAGCCUCCCGAGUAGCUGGGUUUACAGGCAUGCACCACCAUGCCCAGCUAAUUUUUGUAUUUUUAGUAGAGACGAGGUUUCACCAUGUUGACCAGGAUGGGCUCGAUCUCUUGACUUCAUGAUCCGCUGGCCUCGACCUCCCAGAGUGCUGGGAUUAGAGGCUUGAGUCACUGCGCCCAGCAGACUAUUGAUUCUUUAAUGACCAGAUUUUAUUAAAGGUUUACGUAACAAUGAAGAUAGUUGAAGCUGGUAUGGAAUUUAUUUUCUUUAACCCUUUUCCUGAUUAGAAAAGAAAAAGUACAGCUUGGGGCCAGUGUUCAUUUAAUUUUACAUAAACACACUCUUUGAGGCUGAAGCAAAUCUGACUGAUUUUCAACAUGAAAAUAAAACGUAACAGCUGUUCUUGGAGUUAUUUCUAAACAGAACUCACAGCAGAAUUGUCUGAAUCAUCAGAAUUGUCUAUUUUGGAAAAAUCGAAUUCAUCAAAUUAAUCUUCAACCAACAACUGUUUGAGAAUACAUGCUUAAGAAUGCUACAUUUUCUAGGAUUCAGCAUUUUCAGCAAUCCAGAAUACUAUAUUUUGUAAAUGGAAAUACCACUACUAAAAGCAGAAUACUGUAAAUAGAAUGAUGUCUUUUGCUUCCAAAGAUGAUAUCCUAGAGUGAUGUGAAAAUAAUAGUAAAAAAGAAAUAGUGGUGGCAAAAUUAUCUCGGAGUCAACAUUACACCCACAAACACUACCAGCAACUAUUUUCCGGGCAAACAGGAAAAGGGUUUAUACCAUAAAUUGGUUAUUUAUGUUUGUGCAAAACUGAGACUACAACCUGACAAUAAUGGCAAAUGAAGCGCAAUCCCUAAAGUUGUGCAGGGUUUGAUAAAAGCCAUCUGUUUCUUUUUGCAUUUAAAAUAUUUCUGUUCUUUUUAUCUCUGUUGGUUUAGACAUUAUACUUUGUAUUUUUGGGGUAGUUACCUGCCAAUAUUCAAUAUAUACAUUUAGACUCAUAAUAUUCUGUGAGUCUUAACCUGUAGACUUAACCUCUUUUAGAAUAGAAAAAAAAUCUUUUAAUGAUUUCAACUACUAUAAUAUAUUUUCUAGCAUUCCAUUUUGGCACUAUUGAACUUUUUGAUAGUCUGAUGUGACAAUCAGUCUACAAUAAUUUUCACUCAAAAUUCUAGGCAUACCAUAAAAAUAUUUUGUAGUCUGGAAGCUUGUUUUUCUGUCUGUCUGGAAUAAUUUUGCUUGACAUUCUGAUAUAAAUCCUUAACUAUAAUGACUUCCUUCUGUUUUUCAGAGAUAAAUACAUCUAGUUUUAUCAACUACGGUUUAUACUGGGUUACCUAGUUAGUCAAGACCGACUUUUGACAUUUUUUUACUCCGGCUGUCUUCUCCUGCCUAAGUAUGCAUUAUGUUUUCAUCUACAUCUUGAAAUUUUUUAUACACCACUUGAAAGUCCCAGGGGUUCUGUGGGUUGGCUGUGACUUGAAAGCCAGAUUGAUCACCAAUCAGUAACUCUAGUAAGUUAAUUGAUAGGAAAUGGACAUCGCUGUAGGAUAAUUUGAGACCCUACAAUUAUCCGCUGAGCUCGUUAGGGUUUAAGCACCGAAUCGGAGAGGAUUUUCAUUUUCUAGUUCUGUUCUGCUAUCCCUGCUACCACCAUAUGGCAUAAUGUACCCGGGACACUUUUAUUUAUUUUUUUAAAUGAUAGUGAUGUACCUAUUUAUAACAUAGCCUAUUUAUUUAUAUAUUUUCAUUGCCUUUUAGGUUUUGGGGUACAUGUGAAGAACACGAAUGAUUGUUGCAUAGGUACACACAUGGCAGUGUGAUUUGCUGCCUUCCUCCCCAUCACCUAUAUCUGGCAUUUCUCCCCAUGCUCUCUCUCCCAAACUCCCCACCCCCUGCUGGCAAUUCCUCAAGGACCUAGAAAUAGAAAUUCCAUUUGACACUCGUAUUUUUAAAAUCACUGCUACCUGCCAUUGCUGUUUCACUCUGUGGUACACAUUUCUGUUUCUAUAACAAGCAACACAGUUAAAAACAAAGUACAAAAAACGUCUCCCCAAUUUUACUCUCUCAUUUGCUUUUUUCUUGUUUCACACCUCAAACACAUGUUAGAAAUACUGCUCCAAGUAUUUGAAUGAAUAUAUUCCAUGUUCGAAUGUCUAAGUUAUAAAAUGUAUAUAUCAUUGUAUAAAGCUGAGGACAUUUAUAAACAUUCUGUUCAUGUGUAAUAUAUUGAAAGUAGCUUAUUAUGGCUUAGGUGUAAAGCAUUUUAACUCCCUAUACUACUGAUAGAAACUUUUACUUUUAUCUUCUCAAAGCAAGAAGAAUGUUUAAAUCAAAACCUAAGCUAUAAUGGAAGCUCAAUGCUUCACACAAAAGGGAGGAAUGUGGCUGUCAGUACAAGGUUUCCUUUAAAAUUAUGAGUAAUUUUUCAGUGCUCUUGCCUUCCACUUUACUAUUUGCGUAGGAGAACACCAUAAAAUACAGAAUACACCUGUUGAUGGAAACACACAUAAUAUGAUCCCCUGCUGAAUUUUUGUAAAUUCCAUGUGUCUUUCAAAAAGGCCUGAGGAAAAUUAUAUCUUCAGGUAUGUUCACUGUUUAGAAAGAUGUACUUUGAAAAAAUUCAAGUUGUCACUUUUUCCCAUAAAUUAAGAAAAAUAUUAAUCUGUGUCUGCUCCCCUAUUGACACAGAUGGAAUCUCACUAGCUAGUUAAUUAAAGCCUAUAUACCCUAGUAUUAGAUCAUGUUUUUAUUCCAAACACUUUUCUAGUGACGUUUCUAAAAUAUAUAUCAUUCACUUUCUAAAACUUCUGUUUUCACUGUAUCAAAACCUGAAAGUACACGCUCUAUAUAGAGCAAUUUGUACAAAGUAGGGCAAAAUAUAAUGACCAUGUUGGACAGUAGCUUAUCAUAUUGACUGUAACAAUAAAAACUUAAAUAGAAAUCUUAAUGGUGCAUCCAAGAUCCUAGACUUUAGGUUUUACUAAAUCAUCCCAGAGCGAGUUUUGAUUAAAAGGAGGGUCCUGGUUGUCUUUCAGAUGCUGUUGAUUAUUAAUGAUUGUAGGUCAUUUAUUAGUCAGCGAUUUCCAUUUGUUUGAAAAAGAGAAUUUAUUUUUUUAGUAAUUGAGAGUUGAAAAAUAAAGCAUGUCCUUUCGAACGUGUUCAUAGUGUUUGUUUAGUUUACUUUCACAGCCCCAGAUUCCUCCCCAAGAACGUUCCAAUCCUAGUAUCUUAUGCAAGUGUUAAAAGGUAAGUUACGGAGUUUGACUCCUCGACUUGUGUUUGAUCCUCGUUCUUUCUCCUUCCCUUCUUUCCAAAGUGAUUGGUUAAAGAAUUGCUUGAAACUAUGAAGGUAACACAAUGGGAAGGCCGUUGCACUUCCCAGUUGCCCUGGGUCCUGCCUUAUGGAGCUGAUUCUUGGAACUGUGGCAGUGUUCUUGCUGUGAGAUUUAGAACGAACCAACAUGUCCAGGAGGAUAGAGCUGAACAUGCAGAGAACUGAAUCUAGUACUUUGCCACAUCAUUAUUCAAGCAGUCCUGUUUCCACAUCGCUUGUCUGGAGGAUGAUAAAUACUCUUCUUGUUUCAGCGAAAAUGAAUUGAGGACCCCUGUUAUAUCUCCCCGGUGAUAGUAAAUGUUUGAUUGCAACUAAUAUUGUGAAAUUUCGAAUUAUUGGAAAAGAAAUAUUGAAUGACUUUUUAAAGGAAUUAUUUUAAAAAGUAAUAGCUAUUUCUCAAUAUAGAAAAUAUAGGUACUGAAGAUAAUCAAAGCAUGUUUUACAGACAGACUCCUAUAUUCACCUCUAAUAUAUACACGGCACUUGUGUAUGUUUAAAUUUAUGUAACUUACAAUAUAUCUUCUGAGGAAUGUACUUUCAUAGGAGAAAGCUAUAAAGUAGAAAAGCUUCCUGCUGAUUGAAACACACUUAAUGUGGUCCCCUGCUGAACUUCUAUAAACCUGCGAAUCUUUGAGACGCCUCAGGAAAGUUGUAUAUUCAGCUGUGUUCAGUGUUCAUAGAGGCUAGUUGGGGGAAGUUCAAGUCAUCAUUAUCAUUUUUAUUCUUUCCAUGAAUUAAAAAAAAGUUUAUUCUUUGUUUGUUCCCUUAUUGACACAGGCAGAAUCUCUCUAGUUAGCUGUACAGCUUUUACAAGACUGUGUUUUCACCAACGUUCAGUGUUUGAAUGUAUAAAUUAUAAGAUGUAUACAUCAUUGUAUAAAAAUGAGGACAUUGGCCAGGUGCGGUGGCUCACACCUGUAAUCCCAGCACUUUGGGAGGCUGAGGUGGGUGGAUCACAAGGUCAAGAGAUCAAGACCAUCCUGGUCAACAUGGUGAAACCCCGUCUCUACUAAAAAUACAAAAAAAAAAAAAAUUAGCUGGGCAUGGUGGCGUGUGCCUGUAAUCCCAGCUACUCAGGAGGCUGAGGCAGGAGAACUGCCUGAACCCAGGAGGGGGAGGUUGCAGUGAGCCGAGAUCACGCCAUUGCACUCCAGCCUGGGUAACAAGUGCGAAACUCCGUCUCAAAAAAAAAAAAAAAUGAGGACAUUGUAAAGCAUACUGCUCAUAUGUAAUACAUUGAAAGUGGGUUGCGAUGGCUGAGGUGUGAAGCACUUUAACUCCCUGUACUGCUAAAAUCAACUUUUACUUCUGUCUUCCGAAAGCAUAGUCAGCACAACUCUGACAGCAUGAGAACUGCAGCGAGGUGAUAAUGUGUUACUUGUGAGUAACAGACAUCAUCUGAAUACGACAGUCAUAACUUUACUACCGCUAUUUUUCAACCACAGUUUAAAAACUUUUCUGAAAAAAUACUUUUUGCUGUAAACACUUGAUCUUUGUGAUCAUUCACAUUUCCUGAUUAUGACAGCAUCAUUUCCCAUUAAUUUAUGUCACAGAUGUUAGCAUUUAUUUCUCCUGGCAUCACAUUUCAGAAAUAUAAACAACCUAACACUGUUAUUGACGCACAAGUGUCAAUAAUACCCUUUUGGAUGAGGAAAAAUACCCUCUUCCCAAUUUUGUUAUAUACUUGAAGAGGGAAAACACAAACAAAAAUCACGCGACCGCUCUAUCAUCGAGCCUAAAGUCCCAAGUUGUACCAAGUGUCCAGAGAAGGAGAUAGAAGUUGAGGUCACCUUCAAUUGGGCAGAUAAAAUGCUGCAUUACUCAGUCAAAAUAUGCCACCUUGAAUAUAUUACAAAUAUACGAGUUUAAACACUUCAUCAAUGUCAUCUUUCAAGUACUGAACUCUUAGAAAAAAGGCUGCUGCGAUGGCUGUGGCUUAAUUAUCGUGGUUUAUGCUUCUGACUGGAAGUUGACUUCUAGGUCCAAAGCCUAGAACGACAGUACUAGUAGUUUAAGACUACAGAAAUGAUGUUAGACAAAAAGCAAAUUUGAGCUAUUUUCUUAUUUGAGUUCAAAAUGGGUCGUAAAGCAAUGAAGACAACUUGCAGCAUCAACAACGCGCUUGGCCCGGGAGCUGUUGAUGGAUGUACAGUGCAGUGGUGGUUCCCAAACCUUUGCAAAGGAGACGAGAGCCUUGAAGAUGAGGAGCGUAGUGGCCGGCCAUCCGAAGUCGACAGGACCACGGAGAGCCAUCAUCAGAGCUGAUCUUACAAGUACAGAAGAAGUGGCAGAAUAAUUCCGUGCUGACCAUUCUACUGUCAUUUGACCAUUGAAGAAAAUUGGAAAGGUGACAAAAUUCGCUAAAUCUGGAGGCUGGGUGCUGGCGGGUCUAUUUUCUGUUGAAGACUGUCCUCUGCUUUCGGGAUGGCGCCUUGCUGCUGUGUCCGCUGUAGCUGCAGCUGGAUGAUGAGACAGAAGGAAGGGAGUCACCUCGGCAAGCCCUUUUCUAAGGUGCUAUCCCAUCUACAGGCGCUCCACCCACAUGACUUAAUCACUGCCUAAAGGCCGCACUUAUUACUAUCAGAUUGGUGAUUAAAUUUUAACAUAUGAAUUUUGGAGGACACAUUUAGACCACUGUAAUCAUUAAGGAUUUGUGAAGAAUAAUGGAUCACUUUUCAAAGAGUUAAAAAAAUUAACCUUUGUUAAUAAGAGUUAACAUAACUAUAUGAUUAUUUUGUUCUCAAUACAUUUAAAUGUCAAGCUUGGCUCCCUAACUAAAGCAAAGCUGAUAGAUAUAUAAUAUUCCGUAGACCUGUGAUAAAUACCUGCUCACAUGAUUUUUUGAGACAGUAAACUCAGUGGUGAGAUUAACUUUCUUCAUUAAGAUUAUAAAUCAACUUCAAGAAAACUACGCAAACUGCUAAUGAGAGUAGUUAUAUAUUAUUUCUUAAAUAUUAGACAUUUAUAACAAUUAGGAUAAAGUUUGGCUUAGCAAUAUGUUCAAAAUGAUUAUAUUUUAAUAGCAACUUGAGUAGGGCAAAGAGGUAGAUAUAUUUGGCAGUAUUCAUUAAUCGGAAAGUAGGUUACAGAAGAGUUCCAGUGUUUUGUUUCUCAUGUAUGUAAAUGCACAUGUAUGUAAAUGCACAUGUAUGUAAAUGCACAUGUACGUAAAUGCACAUGGGUACUUUCUUUUUUCAGAGAGCAUUGAAAACAUUUUUCAUCUAAGGACACAAAAAUGCAUGUUCAUAUGUAUAAACGGGAAAGUAUCAUUCCUGUUAAGCUGUUUCCGGCUUUAUUCUCUAGUACUUCAGUAGAAAUAAAGACACAUUGUGUAUAAAUCUGUCAAAAUGGGAUAUGCUCUUUUGUCACCACUUCAACACUUAUCAAGGUGGUUCCCUGGAAGACUCACUUGCAAGACUGUCUUUGUUUCACCAGAGAUGAGCUCAACCAGUUCAAAAAGUCUUUUCCCCAGGAUGAACUUAACUUCAGUUCCUGCAGACAGCUGUGGAUUUCUGCCUCCUCCGAGUAUACCUCUUCAUCUGGAUCUGAUGUCUGCACCACCACUCAGCAGCAGAGGGUACGAUACUGGCCAACAUGUCCUAGAGUGACAUCUCUGCCAUGUGACUGUGUACUGGGAUUCAGUACAGUAGAGUUCUGUAUUCUGGAAAGAAAUCCCAGAAGUCAAGUGCCCUGUUAUCUCAUCAAGAGUCCAUACUACGAACAUGAACUGUCACUGCUGAUGUGGGCCGGAAUCACCUACCUGAAGUGUUUAUGUUUCUUCAUUGUACAAUUGCUACUUGUAAUCCUUUUUUAUACUGUGCUACUUGGAAGGAAAUCACUAUGUGCAGCCAACACUUAAGAAAUGAGAAGGAUCAGCUGGGCAUAAGUCCUUCUAGCUUCUUCGUUUUUCUUAUUCAUAAUCUCCCAUCCUGACAAAAUCCACUAUCUACAUAGUUCAAAUUUCAGCAUCAUGUAUAGUACAUGUAUAUAUUGUAUUGUUAAUCUGUAUUCUUUUAGAGAACAACUUGAUCCAUUAGAGUUGCGCAAUUUCUUAUGUCUUUCUCUUCUAUUUUCAUUUCACUCAUUUUCAAAGUUACUUAGCUCACUAACUUUUUCUCUUUUACAAUAUAGAUUUUUUUUUGUCACAUUAUGUAUUCCCUCCACUGACUGAUUCCCUGGAUGGUUUUUCUUCAUUUUCAUACAUUAAGAUCCACUCUUUAUGGUGUAAAGUGUAUGGAUCUCGAUAAAUACUUAGCAUGUACCCACCAUUAACAAACCACGCACUGUAGUUUCUCUGCCUUAAAAAUUCCUAGUGUUUUCCCUCUUCGACCUUCUUUCUCCUCAUACCUGUGGCAACCAGUAAGCAUUUACAGUCUCUAUCAUUUUACCGCUACACAAGUAUGCAGUAUUACAUCACACAGUAUGCAGCCUCUUUAGACUGGCUUCUUUAAUUUAGUGCUAAUAAAUGAGCCAAAGAGGACCUCUGUGAAUUGGCUCCUAGGUUAUUCACUGCUCGGUGAGAUCCUUUUCAAAACCCAUGGCUACCAAACUCAAACUUUGACACAUUCAGUGUUUUUAAAAGAACGUAUCUAAGCAGAUUUUUAGCUUUAUACAGCCUGCCUGCAUUUUAUACCCCAUGAAAUCUCACCCAACAUCUGUUACCUAUCAAUAACAUAAUACUUGUAGUCAUAAAGCCCCAACCUGCUGGUGUUCUUUGGAAAUUCUCAGCCAUACUGUGGUGUGACCUCACUUGGACACAUUAGGCCCUCUCUGGCCCCCCUCUUCCCUGGGAUUUUCUUUGCUCCUCUGCCUCUGUGAAGACUGGCCCCUUCACCAUGAGUUUCUGGAAAGUAUCAUAGUAUGAGCGAUUUCAUCUCUCAUGAAGUACCACCACCACCUGAUAAAGUUUAUUGUGUGCCACUGCCUGUUAGAAUUUUGUAUUUUUCCUCGAUCAAAAAUCUCAUGAGCCCCAUACACUGAGCAAUAAAUAUUUACAAUUCAUCCAUGUCUUUUUGUGGCUUGAUAUCUAAUUUCCUUAUAAUGCGCUUUUAUUCUUAGUGUUGUUCUA